Molecule: long non-coding RNA, 384 nt
Organism: Pogoniulus pusillus (Red-fronted tinkerbird)
Lineage: Eukaryota; Metazoa; Chordata; Aves; Piciformes; Lybiidae
Exons: 3
Source: RefSeq, a predicted model, not a curated record
UGCGGGAAGUUAAUGGAGCUGCAUUCCAUCCUUUCAAGUGGGGCUUGGAGGGGUUGCAGGAGCUUCGUUAUGAUGUGAUGUGAAGAGAAGCAGCAGCAGAAUGGUGGUCUUCACUUGCAAGCGUGGUGUGAGAAUCUGCUGGAUGACCUCCCUACCACCUUCAGAACAUAGUUGGUGGAAGGAUGGAAGAGAAAAAUGCCCUUUGCCUCAGUGGAAUCCCAGGUAAAGGGAAGCCACAUUUCUGAUGUUAUCUGUUGCACUGCAAAGUGUUUUGUAUUUCCCUCAAGGCUCUCAGCCUGCUUCGAGCGGGUUCAGGCUCCUGCUUACAGUGUGAUUGCCACCCUCGGCUUUAGCACAGGAGAAAAAUUAAACGCCUGCAGUUCU